RNAcentral lists this ribosomal RNA (474 nucleotides) under uncultured organism. RNAcentral's name for it is "partial 16S ribosomal RNA". It matches the Rfam family "Bacterial small subunit ribosomal RNA", at positions 332 to 797 of the family's 1533-position model. The record is from RNAcentral.
UACACUCCUACGGGAGGCAGCAGUGGGGAAUAUUGCACAAUGGGCGCAAGCCUGAUGCAGCCAUGCCGCGUGUAUGAAGAAGGCCUUCGGGUUGUAAAGUACUUUCAGCGGGGAGGAAGGCGAUAAGGUUAAUAACCUUGUCGAUUGACGUUACCCGCAGAAGAAGCACCGGCUAACUCCGUGCCAGCAGCCGCGGUAAUACGGAGGGUGCAAGCGUUAAUCGGAAUUACUGGGCGUAAAGCGCACGCAGGCGGUCUGUCAAGUCGGAUGUGAAAUCCCCGGGCUCAACCUGGGAACUGCAUUCGAAACUGGCAGGCUAGAGUCUUGUAGAGGGGGGUAGAAUUCCAGGUGUAGCGGUGAAAUGCGUAGAGAUCUGGAGGAAUACCGGUGGCGAAGGCGGCCCCCUGGACAAAGACUGACGCUCAGGUGCGAAAGCGUGGGGAGCAAACAGGAUUAGAAACCCCGGUAGUCCCA